RNAcentral lists this ribosomal RNA (393 nucleotides) under Triticum aestivum (bread wheat). RNAcentral describes it as "partial small subunit ribosomal RNA". Lineage: Eukaryota; Viridiplantae; Streptophyta; Magnoliopsida; Poales; Poaceae. The record is from RNAcentral.
AUGAAGAAUAAUAAGGCUCCUGGCCCGGAUGGUUUCCCGACAGAGUUCUACAAGAAGUGUUGGCACAUUAUUAAAGGAGAUCUAUUGCCGUUGUUCAAUGAUUUAUUCUCUGGCCAGCUUCACCUUUUUCAGCUGAAUUUUGGAACGAUAACACUUCUUCCCAAGAAGACAGAGGCAGUGCGGAUUGAGCAAUUCCGGCCUAUCUGUCUUCUCAAUGUCAGUUUCAAAAAAUUUACCAAGGUCGGGACGAAUAGGCUCACACAGAUUGUGCAUACUGUGGUGCAACCUAUUCAGCCUGCUUCAUGCCGGAUUGGAACAUCCUUGAAGGGGUGGUGGUCCUGCAUGAAACGCUCCAUGAGAUUCACACGAAAAAUUGGAUGGAGUGGUUUUUAA